ACGUACGGGUCUACCCGUGCGCUGACAAAAGCAUGAGAGGAAGUCNCGGCUUAACUUUCGUGCCAGCAGCCGCGGUAAGACGAAGGUGGCUAGCGUUAUUCGGAUUUACUGGGCAUAAAGCGCGCGUAGGCGGCUUGGUAAGUCGGAGGUGAAAGCCCGCAGCUCAACUGCGGAACUGCCCCCGAUACUGUCGAGCUUGAGUGCAGGAGGGGUGACUGGAACUUCCAGGUGUAGCGGUGAAAUGCGUAGAUAUCUGGAGGAACACCGGAGGCGAAGGCGGGUCACUGGACUGCAACUGACGCUGAGGCGCGAAAGCUAGGGGAGCGAACAGGAUUAGAUACCCUGGUAGUCCUAGCUGUAAACGAUGGGUACUAGGCAAUGGGGGUCCGAUGCCCUCGUUGCCGGAGCUAAUGUGUUAAGUACCCCGCCUGGGGAGUACGGCCGCAAGGUUGAAACUCAAAGGAAUUGACGGGGGCUCACACAAGCGGUGGAGUAUGUGGUUUAAUUCGAAGCAACGCGCAGAACCUUACCAGGGUUUGAAAUGCACGGAUUAGCUCCCUGAAAGGGGAGUGACGCCUUCUGGUGGAACGUGCACAGGUGUUGCAUGGCUGUCGNAANCUCGUGUUGUGAAAUGU
RNAcentral lists this ribosomal RNA (635 nucleotides) under uncultured bacterium. Its description in RNAcentral is "bacterial SSU rRNA". It matches the Rfam family "Bacterial small subunit ribosomal RNA", at positions 451 to 1075 of the family's 1533-position model. The record is from RNAcentral.